Molecule: long non-coding RNA, 2932 nt
Organism: Acipenser ruthenus (sterlet)
Lineage: Eukaryota; Metazoa; Chordata; Actinopteri; Acipenseriformes; Acipenseridae
Exons: 3
Source: RefSeq, a predicted model, not a curated record
AUUGUUCUGUCUUUUGCAUGCGAGAGAGAGAGCUUGGAGGACGCUGAAAUGCAUUGUCCUAUAUAUAUAUAUAUAUAACAGUAGUAGAUACACUUUUAGUUUAAUUUAUAUCGUUGUUAUCCACAGAGGUAUUAAUAGCACUUAAUUAAUUUAAGGAGAAUUAUUAAGGGCGUUUUUUUUAUGUAGAAAUGUAUUACUAAUUAGACUAGCGUAAAGCGUGGGAAACGAUACGCAGGGAAAUUUUGUUAGUUGGAAAUUGUAUUUUUGAUUAAGACUAGGGGAUAACGUGUAGGUAUUUUUUUAAAUGUCUAAGCUAGCCAUCGCUGUUUUAUUAUUUUUGAUAACAUUUUCUUUUUCAUUCUAACCCGACACGUGACUGGCGCACACAGAGCUGCCAGAGUGACACAGAUGGCAGGUAUGUACCCUCUCCUCUCAGUGUGUGUCUGUGCGUCAGUGGGGUUGUUGCAGGUCUGUUGUGAUGAGUUGCAUGUCCGUGUUUCACCUGACAGUAAUGAUUACACACCUCAUGCACUGAACUGCACCUGCAACUUGGUAUUUAGAAGUUAUUUAAGAUGUCUAAUUAAAGCACAAAGUGGUCUAACACUUUCACACAAUUGUUUCUAAAGGAUACAAAUGACAAAUCUUGACUUGUUCUAAUAUGUUUUGCACUAUGCUGAAUUGUUCCUCCCAUAUACAUUUAACAUCAUUAAUAGAUCAUAUAAAUGCUAAACUGAAACCCAGGACUGAGUGCGGGGCUAGUGUGAGUUUCAAACCAUGUUCUGUUAUGUAAGUCUGUACGUAGCACUAGAAAUCAGCAGGGAAGCAUUGGCAUAGAGUGCUAUACAAGAGUAUAUUUGAAUUGCAUAAUUGUCAAAUGAUCAAUGAUGUCUUUUCUGGGGUUGUGAAGUCAACAUUAAAUUCAUUCUUCUUUAGCUUACCGGUGACUAUUUGCUAUCCAUCAAAUAUAUUAAUCAGCCAUUUUGUUUGUUACAGGCUGACGAGGAUUCUGUGGCAGGUAUGUACCCUCUCCUCAGUGUGUGUCUGUGCGUCAGUGGGGUUGUUGCAGGUCUGUUGUGAUGAGUUGCAUGUCCGUGUUUCACCUGACAGUAAUGAUUACACACAUCAUGCACUGAACUGCACCUGCAAGCAAAACACUGCGCAGCAUUGAAUAACACAGCAAUAGCCACUGCUGUUUUUACCUCGUUGUUGGAAAGCCCUUGAAGCACGCUGUUCAUACAAAACAGUCAAAGUUCAUUCAGAUAUUUCCGGAGUAUCCCCCAUCUGUAGGAUUAUAACCAAUAAUAUCCAUCUGCUGUUUUACACUCCUUUAGCUCUCUGGUCCCUUCACAGUAGCAUCCGCAUCGGUUUUAUUUACAGUGGAAGGUAUUGGUUGCGAUUAACGUGAAUUGAGACCCUGAGCUUUCCUUUUGAUUUCAAUCUGAAUUCUGAUAUCGGAACAGAAUUCUAGCAUUUGAGAAAUGUUGCCAAAUUGUAGCCUACUGGAUGCAAAGGACACAGCAAUGCUGCUGCUGCUGCAUGCAUCUGUAACCUCUCGUCCUGAUUAUUGUAAUUCCUUGCUCGUUGGUGUACCUGCCAUUAAACUGAGAAAUCUGCCAGACUGCUUUCUCAACGUAUUACCCCUUGCACUGGUGACCAGUGAGUUUAUUGAAUUGGUUUUAAAGUUGCUGUAAUAACUUUGAAUGGCCCUAACCCAUGAAGGACCUUACAUCUCUGUGUAUUUCUAUUCGUUCCUUGAGAUCAGGGGGAAAAUGCAGGACAUUUAGUUCCACGAAAGUCUUAAUUCAGCUGGAGCCAUGGCUUUUCUGCUGUGGUGCUCCUCGUUUGUGGAACUCUAUUCUGGUUGACCUUAGGCUGAUUGAAACCCUGGAUUCUCAAGUCUGAAUUGAAAACCAUUUUUAUUUUUAAUGUGCUUUUAUACAAUUGGUCGUAGCCGGAGUGUAUUGUACAUGGUAGCGCGUUCUUUUGUUUUUAACUUAGUCCAGCACUCUGGGCUGCCAUGGCGUGAAGGGCGCUAUAUAAAAACAUUUGUAUUGGAUUUGUAUAUUUUCUGAACAAUCACAGUAGCCUGACACAUGCAGAUACCUGAACCGUAAAAAAAUCCUGAUAAAUGUAACUCCCAGUGAUGUUAUCCAAUGAAGUUAAUUGCUUAUUUGUUUUUGUUUUAGAGCUGCCAGAGUGACACAGGUGGCAGGUAUGUACCCUCUCCUCUCAGUGUGUGUCUGUGCGUCAGUGGGGUUGUUGCAGGUCUGUUGUGAUGAGUUGCAUGUCCGUGUUUCACCUGACAGUAAUGAUUACAUACAUCAUGCACUGAACUGCACCUGCAACUUUGUAUUUAGAAGUUAUUUAAGAUGUCUAAUUAAAGCACAAAGUGGUCUAACACUUUCACACAAUUGUUUCUAAAGGAUACAAAUGACUAAUCUUGACUUGUUCUAAUACGUUUUGCACUAUGCUGAAUUGUUCCUCCCAUAUACAUUUAACAUCAUUAAUAGAUAAUAUAAAUGCUAAACUGAAACCCAGGACUGAGUGCGGGGCUAGUGUGAGUUUCAAACCAUGUUCUGUUAUGCAAGUCUGUACGUAGCACUAGAAAUCAGCAGGGAAGCCUAGGCAUAGAGUGCUAUAUAAGAGUAUAUUUGAAUUGCAUAAUUGUCAAAUGAUCAAUGAUGUCUUUCUGGGGUUGUGAAGUCAACAUUAAAUUCAUUCUUUAGAUUACUGGUGACUGUAUUUGCUAUCCAUCAAAUAUAUGAAUCAGCCAUUUUGUUUGUUGCAGGCUGACGAGGAUUCUGUGGCAGGUAAGGCAACACUGUCCGAAGAUCACCAGCAACCCAACCAGCAAGCAUUGGGAUUGACUGCAUGUGUCUCUUGUGGUUAUGUUUGUAUAUAUACAAAAAUAAAUAAAGCAUUACUGGAAAAA